UAACGUAGACAUUGAUGCUUUACUUCUUCUGAAACACACAUCCAAUAGCAGAAGGCAGCAUAUACCAUAUAUGUUUGUCUUUUGACCGAAAUGGUAUAUCAUAGGGGAAUAUCAACUUUGGAAGCUCUUCACAAUAUCCUGCAGUUUUUAUUACCUGGUGGCUUCUACUGCCCGCUUCGUGCACCUUAUGAAAAUUCAGGUGUUAGCAGAACGUGAGCAGAAAAUUCAAACUGAGGUGAAAGAAAUACGCAAGGUGUUCUAUUGUGAUCUUUGCAACAAGCAAUACAAAUUGGCUGUGGAAUUUGAAGCCCAUCUGAGCUCAUAUGAUCACAACCAUAGAAAGGUAAAUAAUGUAUUUUCCUGUGGUGUAACGUUUGGUCUAUACUCUGCUCUUGUCUAAAUCUGCAACAUUGUUGGACGAGGAUUGCAGCGUUUUAAAGAAAUGAGAGAAAUGCAUGGUACUAGCAGUCGGGAUGAUCGGCAAAAACGAGAACAACAACGUCAGGAGAGGGAGAUGGCUAAAUUUGCUCAAAUGUAAAUAUUUUCCCUUGCCUUUAUUUCAUCUGUCUGUUCUUUUAUUUAUUUCAUUUUUAUUUUAAGUUUUGCUUAAUUCUUUUUAUUUCAUCUUACUUUUCUAUUCGUCUUUGCCUCUUAGGGCUGAUGCCCAUAAACAGCAGCAGGAACAAAAGCAGCGGCAGCAGGAUCAACAACAACAAGACGAAGAAUCUGGGUCUGUUUCAGUCCCCACUGCACCUGGAACUACUACAGCUCUUGCCAAUCAGGAUCAGCGCAAGGCGUUAAAAUUCGGUUUCUCUUCUAAAGGUGGCACUUCCAAGGUACAUCUAACUUCAGAAUUCUGAGUUGAUUCAUUGCAACUUUAGGUCCUCGUGGAUUCUCCCAUUAGAAAAUUACUGAGGAUGAUUUGAAAGAAUCUGAGUUGUGUCGAAGCAGUUGUCGUACAUAUACAUGCUUGUAUGCAUGUGCUGUUGAAUACCAGAUUCAUCUAACCCGUGAACCUUAGGAUUUGUGGACAUAAUUAAAUGUCAAAGCUCUCCCUUAUAUUAUAGCUUCGCUAAAUGGGUGAUUAAAUUCUUUGUAACAUAUGUGAAUUUGUGGAUGAGUCUAGGUGGUGCUAAGUAAGGUUUUGUUCCUCUCGUCUUUGUUGAGGCAUCUUUUUUGUUUAUCUGACAGUUCAUGUGAUGCAUGUAUAGUGCUUUUUUCUGCUUUUAGAUCUUUCUUGAGAACUGUCUUUGGUUCACAGCAAUUUUCUUUGAGCUGUAGAGUAUGCUGUAGAGUAUUCUGAUACAGUUCCUUAAUGGUUCAGUCAUGUCUGUCAUUGCCAUCAUACCUUUUUGGUUCCAAAGUUGUCAUCACUACAUAUGCCAUAAACCCCUUAUCAGCCACUGUAGUGCAUGGUGAAGAAGCAUGCCUGCCUCUGCAUUAAAUUCACUUUAUUUGAGUUUUAUGAUGGGGUGUUUUCCCAUUCUCAUGUAUACAACUUUUAGUAGUUGGGGCUGUAGUACUGCCAGCCAUAAAACUCGUGGAGAUAAAGAUAACUUCUCUGGAUUUGUUUAGCGGUGAGAUAAGUACGAUGCAUUCAAGUCAAACCUGAUAUUGGAUGUAUCAAGAGACCAUGACUGUACUUGUGAAAUGAAUUGCUGUCUAAUACUUCAAUUAUGUGACGGCUCUAGUACUAGUUAUAUAGGAGUGUAGUAUUUCAUUCUCUCAGUCUCAAGCUGUGGGGAACCCAUCUGCAUCCAUUUGAAUGUACAAGGUCUAAAAACUUCAACCACAAAUCCUUUGCAUGAUCAAAAUCAGCUUUUGUUUUUAGAACUCAUGGUUCUCUCAGUGAUACUAUUUCUUUCAAUCAUGUGUUUAACUUUCUUGCUUCUUCUGAUGCACUUGCCCAUUAAAACCAAUUUUGGUGAAUAGAACUCACAACUCUUUUGGGGAUAUUAUGUCUUCAUACUCUUCUGAUUUUCUUUGCUUCUUGUGCAGAACACAACUGGAAGUGCUGCAAAGAAGCCAAAAGUAGCUGUUGCUUCAGUGUUCGGCCAUGAUAGUGAUGAAGAACAGUGAAAAUCAAUCCCCAUGCCUGCUUACCAGGCACCAGCAAUGUAUUUUACGUAGUCUCCCAUAAAUUUUUGUUGUCUAUGUAAUAUGUCACCAUUGCCCAUUGUAUGAUGUUGUUAGUUCAAAGUGGCUAAGAUAAUAUACAUCACUAUUUUUAUUUUCUUGUUUGUUUAUGCUGAUGAGUUUACCUAUUCUGUAGCCUUUAAAGAAUCACUAAUUGUUUUCAACACUAUCAAAUUCUUCAUGCCCCUUAAAAUCGAGCCAAUUGCGCCCGGUACACCUCCAUACUUCAAAAAUUAUCUCAAUACCCUAAAAUAUGUUUUUACCAAAAUUUUCAUCGAUACCCUUUAAAAACUGAUAGGAAAUUAUUAAACUAUCCUCAUUUUAAAACAUUUUAACUCAACAGACAACACCUCUCCCUUCUCUACUGAAGCAAACAAACACUCAUCUGCUGCAAUUCCCUCCAUUAUCAAACUCAAACAAACAAAUACUGCAAUUCCCUCACCGACAUCACCUUUGCAAUUCCCUCAUCGGCAUCACCUCUACCGAAGCAAACAUUCAUUCUCCAUACAUGGUAAAUCGAACUUUAACACGAGCAAACUAAGCCUGAGAAGGGGAAGCUGCCACAACUGAGAAAGUGAAGCAUAGUUCGUCCCUACAUAAUCGCGGGAGAGAGUUGAUCAUUUACUGUAAAAUUGUCAGAAUGUAACUAGUUGAGACAAGUAAUUCCGUGUAAUUAGUUUUCUUGUUAAUAUUCAAGGGAAAAAAAUAAAAAGUUAGGGUUUUAUAUUGAAAAAAUAGAUUAAUUAGUUGUGGGUCUCUCAUAACAUGUUCGAAAACAAAUUUCUACUUGUUUUGCUGCAUGCAAAUUGUGAAAAAUUAAUGAAUUGUGCUUAUUAUAAUUUUGUUAUGUAACAUAAGAUUUGGUCGUGUAAGGUUAUGUAAGAUUCAAGGUUGUGUAUUACACGACCUUCAUGUAUUGCACGAUUAUACGACCUUCAUGUAUUGCACGAUUACAUGACCUUCAUGUAUUGCACGUUUACACGACCUUCAUGUAUUGCAUGUUUAUAUGACCUUCAUGUAUUAUACAAUUACACGAUCUUCUUGUAUUACACAAUUACACGACCUUCAAUUCCACAUUUUGUUUCUUGUCAAUAGAAUCUAUACAUUACAUUCAGUUUAAUUAGGCUCACAAUAAAUUGGAAUGCUGCAUAUACCUUUACCUUGUGAAAUGUCAUUAGUUAGAGAGAUUCUUAAUUUUCAAUUAUAAGUCAUGGUAAGUCAUGAUAUGUCUAGUUAUGAGUGGAAAUAUUUUAUCACUGUGAAUGGUGUUCUUAUUUGUAUAACAUUACAUUAAUUUCCUAUGGUUGAUAUUUUUGUUUCUUAAUUGAUUUCAUGGAUUAAUUAUAUGUAGACAUUCCUCAUGUAUGCUUGUAUGCUUGGCCAGAGGAAGAAAGCACUUUGAAGAUAAAAAAAAAAAAAAACUUUUUAAAUGGCUGUAAUAUGUUUAAUUACGACUUUAAAAUUACACGAAUUUUUCCAUUAAUCAUUAAAUUAAUUUAGUUCUUUAAAGACUUAAUUUGUGCUAAGAAUUUAUAUUUGCUGCUAUGGAGAAAAUGUCAACGAAAAUUAUUAAAAAAAAGAAGUGAAAUUAAAUUGGAAUCUAAAAAAAUUUCACAUCAUCAUUGGUUUGAAUUGUAACUGGUGGCAUAGGAUCAGAUGUCUUAAGUUUGAACUUCAUUGUGAUUUCGAAUUCCGAAGUAUCUAUAUCAAUAACUUCAGCUAUCUUCUCCACCAAUUCGGCAUAUGUUGUCGAUCGUGGUAUCAUUAUCCCUUUAGCCUUUGAACCUUUGAACUUAUACUCGUCAUUUUGCUCAAUUCAUUCACCAUUGAAGAGAAUAGGCACACGUACCAAAACCAUAUAUGAUGAUACAAUAAAAACAAUAAUAUUAAAUUUCAUAUAUAAGUAACUACACGACCUACAUGACCUAUACGACUAUAUUACUUACACGACUUACAGGACUAUAUUUCUUACAUGACCUACACGACUAUAUUUCUUACAUGACCUACACGACUUACAUGACUAUAUUACUUACACGACCUACAUGACUAACUAUAUGACGUACACGGUAUCAAAAGAAUGCACGACUCGAAACAUUUUCGCCAUAAAUAAGUUAUAAACAUGCUCUCCAUAAUUAAACAACCUACAUUGCAUAUAUUUCUACGUAUAAGGAAAAAUGGUGAAAAUAAAACAUUGUAAUGUGAGGAAAAUUUCUAAAUUUUCCUAAAAAUUAAAAAAUUUAAAACCCAACAACAUUAACAUACCUUAUUGGGUUGUUUAAUAAGCAAUGCACCUUUAAAGAAAGAGUGGGUGUUAAAGAAAUGAAAAUAUAAUUGUAUUUGUAUAAGAAGUUAUGAGAGAUUUUGAGAGAUUCUAAGAGAUUUUGAAAGAAUCGGCAGCAAAAAUGAAUUUGGGUGAAAGAAAUAUGAAGAUAAUUCAUUGAGUGAAUUUGAUGCAUUCAUUAAGGGUAUUUCCGACUUUGCUCACAUUUGUUAGGGUAUCCAUGAAAACAAAAAAGGGAGGGGGUAUUUAAAUAAUUUUGAAACUAUUAAAGGGUAUUUAAUUAAAAACCCCCUUAAAAUCCGUUCGUAUCUAGUUACGGUGCAACAGGUGCACCGUGCGCUCUUUUCGUCUUUCUGUGCUUACGCCAUUGGAUCAGAUGCAAUAGUUUCAAUGGCGUGGUUGUGUUUAUUUGUUUAUUAAUAAUGCAGUCCAUAUUAUUUGUUGAAAAUUUAGAAAAGUUGAGGGCUUAUUCACUAUUAUUUUUGAAUUUGUAUUUUCUGAAAACAAAAAUGAGAAGAAAAAGGUAUUUUGUAGUUGUUGUAUGUCAAAUUUAAGUAUGUGUCUGAUAUUAUUUUUUGUAUGUUAUAUUUUAAAAUUGAAAAUAGUAAUAUGUGUUUGUUAAGCAUAAUUGAAAAUGAUAAAAAUAAAGAAUUAAUGUUCGGUAGUACUAUUUUAAAAAAUAAUUUUUACUAAACAUUUAAGUUAUACUUAGAAAAUAAUUGCUUAACUAAUACGUACACAAUCAUAACAUAGAUAAUUUAAACAAAACAAUUAUAAAAAAUUACAUCAUAAUAAAGUUUUAGUAUUAACAUUAAAAAAAAGAUUACAUUGUUAUUGUUUUUACACUAUAAUUAAUAUAUAUUACAACAUAGACAACAAAUUGAAGUUUUGAAACAAUGAAAAAUUAUAUUGUCAUUGUUUUUACACUAUAAACAUGACACUAGUGACUAGACAGUAUAGCCAUGCUAUGCUAAUAAAAUUUGGAGUGACAGACAACAAACUGAAAAUAUGCUUUGUUAACAAAAUGGCAUUUGCAAAUGAAACCACUAUCAUGGCAAUGACAAUCUUAAGAGAACAAAAUCAUAUUUACAAAAUAAAAAAUAAUUACUAAAAAUUUACUCGAAUAAAAUAAAUACCAGCAACUCGCAAUAAUAAGGACAGAGCCAAGAGAGCAGCAACAACAGAGGCAGUUAAGAUCGAGCAAUAGUGGUUAAGGCAGAGACAGAGCAGCAGCUGCGUGCAAAGAUGAAGCAGCAGCAGUGGCAGAGAGGGAGCAACAGCAGUGGCCUAGAUGAAGCAGUAGUGGCAGUGGAGACAGAGUACAACAAUUGAUAUGGGCACACUGAGAGAGAAUAGAUCGGGAGAGAUAAGAAGAAAGAGAGAGAGCGUUGUUGGAUGAAAAAUGAAAAGACAAGGAUCGAAGAGGUAAGGAAAGAUUUUUUUUUUAAUUUUUUUUUGUAAUAUGUGUUAUAAAAGUGAAUUUGAAUUUAUUGUUUUAUAAUUUAUUUUUUUGAAUUCAACCCACUAAACAUGCAUUAUAUUUGUACUUUUUAAAACGAAAAUGAAAACAAAAUCCCAAAAAUGGUACCGAAUAUGCCCUAAAGUUUUCAAGAUUUUGUGCCAACAUCUUUCUUCAUAAAUUCUCUCAGCAAGAAUUACUAAUCAUCAUCAUUGUGUUACAGUAUCCACUUGCACAAGUUAUAAUCAAGAGAGAUGAAUCAUGUUAGAUUCAUCAACAAAGACAAUAGAAAAUAAGAUGGAUUUUGAAUUUUUGUUAAAGCUCUUAAUUUUGAUCAUUUGUUAACAUAGUAGAGAGGAGUUUCAUUGAUGAUGAUGAUGAUGAACCAAUUUUUAGACUGUUCAACGAGAAAAAGACACAUAACAAAAAAUUAAAAAAAGAAAUUCUACUUAUUUACACCCGAAUUUCAUUGUAGAUGAUGAAUAGAGUGUUG
Molecule: long non-coding RNA, 6369 nt
Filed under: Citrus maxima (pomelo)
Lineage: Eukaryota; Viridiplantae; Streptophyta; Magnoliopsida; Sapindales; Rutaceae
Description: long non-coding RNA (CMAX_LNC002197)
Source: RNAcentral